This 492-nucleotide ribosomal RNA is filed under the name uncultured bacterium. RNAcentral's name for it is "partial 16S ribosomal RNA". It matches the Rfam family "Bacterial small subunit ribosomal RNA", at positions 29 to 507 of the family's 1533-position model. The record is from RNAcentral.
AGUGAACGCUGGCGGUAGGCCUAACACGUGCAAGUCGAACGGCAGCACAGUAAGAGCUUGCUCUUACGGGUGGCGAGUGGCGGACGGGUGAGGAAUACAUCGGAAUCUACUUUUUCGUGGGGGAUAACGUAGGGAAACUUACGCUAAUACCGCAUACGACCUACGGGUGAAAGCAGGGGAUCUUCGGACCUUGCGCGAUUGAAUGAGCCGAUGUCGGAUUAGCUAGUUGGCGGGGUAAAGGCCCACCAAGGCGACGAUCCGUAGCUGGUCUGAGAGGACGAUCAGCCACACUGGAACUGAGACACGGUCCAGACUCCUACGGGAGGCAGCAGUGGGGAAUAUUGGACAAUGGGCGCAAGCCUGAUCCAGCCAUACCGCGUGGGUGAAGAAGGCCUUCGGGUUGUAAAGCCCUUUUGUUGGGAAAGAAAAGCAGCAGGUUAAUACCCCGCUGUUCUGACGGUACCCAAAGAAUAAGCACCGGCUAACUUCGUG